This 279-nucleotide ribosomal RNA is filed under the name uncultured bacterium. RNAcentral's name for it is "partial 16S ribosomal RNA". It matches the Rfam family "Bacterial small subunit ribosomal RNA", at positions 506 to 784 of the family's 1533-position model. The record is from RNAcentral.
UGCCAGCCGCCGCGGUAAUACGGAGGGGGCUAGCGUUGUUCGGAAUUACCGGGCGUAAAGCGCGUGUAGGCGGUUCGUUAAGUCUGAUGUGAAAGCCCGGGGCUCAACCCCGGAUGGUCACUUGAAACAGCAAGACUUGAGUACUGGAGAGGAAAGCGGAAUUCCUGGUGUAGAGGUGAAAUUCGUAGAUAUCAGGAGGAACACCGAUGGCGAAGGCAGCUUUCUGGACAGAUACUGACGCUGAGGCGCGAAGGCGUGGGUAGCGAACGGGAUUAGAUA